GGAAAAAAAAGAAAAAGAAAAAUACUAAAACUGCCAACUGUCCUUCUAAGAUAGUCUACCGCCAAGACUUGAAGAGAAAUGUGGCGUUUUCCUUUUUGGAGGGGUCAACCCACUGAGUUCGGAAGACAGGUUUUUUCCAUUAAGAUUUGUCUGGGGAGGUUCAAUUAAUGGUAAUAAGUCGUCGUCCUCAUCGUCAGCAUCAUCAUCAUCAUCAUCUAAUUGCUAUGAAAUGAAACUGCCACCUCAAGGAGCAGAAGAGAACAUUCAAAAGACAUCAGUGCUGAGUCGAGAUGCCUUCACUGUCUGCUCUGUUGCUGAGCCCCGUGGGUCUAGACUGGCCACCCGACAACCUGGCAGCCAGGGACAGCUCGCCCAGUGUUUUCCAGUUACAUCUGUGUCAGUUAAAGGACUCUGAAUCGUUUUAUGACUGAAUCUCAAUCACAAAAGCUUUGUAACUGUAUCUCACAGUGAUUCAAUAAAUAAAUACAAUAAAAUGAAAAAAGGACACUGAAUCUGGAAUUUAAGGAUCCACAUCCAGGUUCCCAUUUCUAAUAGUGAAGAAUUGGAAUAGCCCAAGUGUUCAACCAAUGAGCAGACAUUUCAAUAAACCACCAAUAGUCUAUCCCUUAGACAAACAGUACAAACAACAUUGCCAAGAUCAUGAAAGGAAAGAAGCAGCAGAAGAACACCAUUGCAUGGAUGGAGUAUACUGAACAGAGGAAGCAUGCCCUAGUAGCUUGAGUAAAAAAAAAAGAAGAGAGCAGGAGACUCAGAACUGAGAGAGAGAAGCUGCCCUAUCAGGACCUCAGCCUCACUGGAUUCAGCACUGACCACCCCACCUCUACCACAAAGGUUUUGCCAAUGGGUUGAUUAUUUUGUGAGGAGAAACCCACUUGUGAUUCUGGGGAGCGGGGGCUAGAAGUCCCAAGAAGCACCAAGAUAAGCACUUUUCUAACUGAAGAAGGAAUCUAUGCCAAUGCCUCAGUCAGCAGAUCCAAGACACAGAUAUGAAGUAACUCAUCCAAAAUCACACAGCUAAUAAAUCAGAAAGUUGGCGUUUGAACCUCAGAGGACAACUCUGGAGUCUGGCACUUUAUCUGCUAUAAACAACUCUCACUGAUAGAAGAAAAGAAAGUUGAGAAAGACCUGAGGGAGUGGGUCAGUGCUAGGACAAGAGAAACAAAUAUACACGCCACCUGUGGUGACAGGCCCCCUGAUUCAGCUUUGGCACAGCUCUCUGAGCUGCAGCACCCUCCCUGCAGUACUCAUCACUUCCAGAAAAGGCCAUUCCUUAGAGAAGGCUCCAUAGCUGGAACAUAAGGUGUUCAGGCAAUGGAAGAAAUUGCUCAGUUGCUUUGGGCAUCACCCACCUGUCUGUCUGUCUGUUAUUGGAAGUUAUGCAUUUUGACUUUAUAAAUGAACAGAGCUGGUUUUUUCCCACCCCUGGCUCUUAGAUUAAGGAAGAAGGAUAUAAACACUUUAGUCAGAAAAUUUUCUUAGCUUCAGAAUAUUCUUAACAUCAUGACAAUUCUAUAAUAGUGGGGGGAAAUGCAUUUAUGUGCCAAACUAUUUGGAACAUAAGUGGCUCUUUUAAUUAAAAUUCAGACAGAAAUUUUAGAUUUGUUACUGAGAAACCAUCAAUCAUGCCUAUGAAUGGUUCACUCUGAGUUGACCUUAAACUGUAGGAAAUUGCCAUUUUCAAUUCACAAAUUACUUUCUUCCCCACCUCUUUACAUCACCAUUUCACUUUCACUUGUCUCAUUACCAUGGUCUUCUUGAUUUUUGUUUAAGAAAAAGAAGAAAAUAGAAAGGAAAUAAACUUUUGCUAA
Sorex araneus (European shrew) is the source of this 1829-nucleotide long non-coding RNA. RefSeq lists it as uncharacterized. The record is from RefSeq and is a predicted model, not a curated record. NCBI's taxonomy places the organism in Eukaryota, Metazoa, Chordata, Mammalia, Eulipotyphla, Soricidae. The transcript is spliced from 6 exons.